CACCUUUGACAUGGCAGGAACUUACCAGAGAUGGUUUGGUGCUCGAAAGAGAACCUGCACACAGGUGCUGCAUGGCUGUCGUCAGCUCGUGUCGUGAGAUGUUGGGUUAAGUCCCGCAACGAGCGCAACCCUUGCCAUUAGUUGCUACAUUCAGUUGAGCACUCUAAUGGGACUGCCGGUGACAAACCGGAGGAAGGUGGGGAUGACGUCAAGUCCUCAUGGCCCUUAUAGGUGGGGCUACACACGUCAUACAAUGGCUGGUACAAAGGGUUGCCAACCCGCGAGGGGGAGCUAAUCCCAUAAAGCCAGUCGUAGUCCGGAUCGCAGUCUGCAACUCGACUGCGUGAAGUCGGAAUCGCUAGUAAUCGCGGAUCAGCUUGCCGCGGUGAAUACGUUCCC
RNAcentral lists this ribosomal RNA (399 nucleotides) under uncultured bacterium. RNAcentral describes it as "bacterial SSU rRNA". It matches the Rfam family "Bacterial small subunit ribosomal RNA", at positions 976 to 1375 of the family's 1533-position model. The record is from RNAcentral.